This 275-nucleotide ribosomal RNA is filed under the name uncultured bacterium. RNAcentral describes it as "partial 16S ribosomal RNA". It matches the Rfam family "Bacterial small subunit ribosomal RNA", at positions 338 to 630 of the family's 1533-position model. The record is from RNAcentral.
CCUACGGGGGGCUGCAGUGAGGAAUAUUGGACAAUGGAGGAAACUCUGAUCCAGCCAUGCCGCGUGAGUGAAGAAGGCCUUCGGGUUGUAAAGCUCUUUUACCCCUGACGAUAAUGACGGUAAGGGGAGAAAAAGCCACGGCUAACUUCGUGCCAGCAGCCGCGGUAAUACGAAGGUGGCAAGCGUUGUUCGGAUUUACUGGGCGUAAAGAGUGCGUAGGCGGUUUAACAAGUCAGGAGUGAAAUCCCAGGGCUCAACCUUGGAAUUGCUUUUGA